AGUCCCGCUCUGCGCCUCGCAGCGCCUCUCACUCCGCAGCACACGCCAGCGCAGCGAGGCGGCGGCCGGCAGGAGCGGGGACACGCCGCCGCCGCCGCCGCCUCGGGCCCGCGGCCGGCAGCCGGCAAAGGACGGCGAGGGAGGCCGGGGGCAGCGCGGCGGGCACGGCCCCGCGGAGGAGCGUCACUGCUUAGGAAGCAGAAGUUCUUGCAGACACCACCUCCUCCUGGACUUUCCUUGUCAGAAGCGUCAGAAACCAUCCCCAGCGUGUGCUGGGGGGACUGACCUAUUGGUCCCGGAUUCCUCACUUGGAGGCGCUUUUGAGCCGAUUUGCAAAGGACUCAAACCUGUGCAAUUCAAGCCCCCCACACCGCAGCUUCCACCUCCUGAAAACCAUCCUCCUGGCAUCUCUGAAUUAGACACCCAGAGGCAGGGGUUGCUGCCUGGAAAGCUGUCCGAGCGAGGCCUUUCCUAGGGACGGCUUGCCUGGGAGCAGAAAUGCAGGAGCCGGAGCUGAGGAGCGCCCAGGCGCUUUGAUGAGGCCCCGGCUGAGCUCAGCCCCUCAUUUCCUGCUCCUUACAACUCUGUGCUUCGAUCGUCCUCGGUCUGUAUGAGACUGCAGGAAUCACCCCUGUCCCUUAAGCAGGGGAGCGGGCGCAUUUGGGAGCUAGCAUUAAAUUCAGCUUUGGAGUCU
This is a long non-coding RNA of Cygnus atratus (black swan), 694 nucleotides long. RefSeq lists it as uncharacterized. The record is from RefSeq and is a predicted model, not a curated record. The transcript is spliced from 2 exons. NCBI's taxonomy places the organism in Eukaryota, Metazoa, Chordata, Aves, Anseriformes, Anatidae.